AAUAACAACUAUCUACAGAAAAACCAAUCACAGCGCGCUGAGUUUAUUCACUCCUUAUAGUUGUUUUAAAAAGAACGCGUGGCCCAGAUCACGAACUAUCCUAGACAAGUAGGAAGUGGAACCAGCAUAAGGAAGAAGUUAAACGCACAAAUCUAAAGCAAGAACGAACAUGGCCAGCGAGAUAAACCUAGGUUAUUUGAAGAGCAAGAAAGGAAUUUUGAAGAUUGUGGAGAGUCUCGUGACUUGUGUGGCUUUCGCAAGCAUGAUGGUUGCAAAUAAAGGGACUUGUUUGAGAGGAAUUUUCAGAGGCGGAUCCGGAGUAAUAAUGCUACCGGAGUACUAUUUUCGUUUUGACUUCUUUAUAGCUAUCCACCUCAUUGGCUUUAUCGCAGCCAUGCUCAUUUUCGUGGUGCAUUUCAUCUCUCCUCAAGAGCCUGUGGGGUCUGCUAAGAUAUGGAACAUCUUGGUAAAUAUUUUAUUAACCAUUUUU
Molecule: long non-coding RNA, 490 nt
Organism: Actinia tenebrosa (Australian red waratah sea anemone)
Lineage: Eukaryota; Metazoa; Cnidaria; Anthozoa; Actiniaria; Actiniidae
Source: RefSeq, a predicted model, not a curated record